UACACCUACGGGGGGCAGCAGUGAGGAACAUUGGUCAAUGGCCGGAAGGCUGAACCAGCCAAGCCGCGUGAAGGACGAAGGUGCCAAGCAUUGUAAACUUCUUUUGUCAAGGGACAAAAUCAGGCUCGAGAGCCUGACCGAGGGUACUUGAAGAAAAAGCAUCGGCUAACUCCGUGCCAGCAGCCGCGGUAAUACGGAGGAUGCGAGCGUUAUCCGGAUUUAUUGGGUUUAAAGGGUGCGUAGGCGGGCUGUUAAGUCAGCGGUAAAACCCCGGGGCUCAACCCCGGCGAGCCGGUGGAACUGGG
RNAcentral lists this ribosomal RNA (305 nucleotides) under uncultured bacterium. RNAcentral describes it as "bacterial SSU rRNA". It matches the Rfam family "Bacterial small subunit ribosomal RNA", at positions 334 to 637 of the family's 1533-position model. The record is from RNAcentral.